GGCGAUCAGAUACCGCCCUAGUUCUAACCGUAAACGAUGACAACCAGCGAUUCGUCGGCGUUAAUCAUAUGACCCGACUAGCAGCUUCCGGGAAACCAAAGUUUUUCGUUUCCGGGGGAAGUAUGGUUGCAAAGCUGAAACUUAAAGGAAUUGACGGAAGGGCACCACCAGGAGUGGAGCCUGCGGCUUAAUUUGACUCAACACGGGAAAACUCACCCGGCCCGGACACCGUAAGGAUUGACAGACUGAGAGCUCUUUCUUAAUUCGGUGGGUGGUGGUGCAUGGCCGUUCUUAGUUGGUGGAGCGAUUUGUCUGGUUAAUUCCGAUAACGAACGAGACUCUGGCCUAUUAAAUAGACGGAAUAUCGCUUAAGUAUUCCGCGCUUCUUAGAGGGACAAGCGGCGUCUAGCCGCAUGAAAUAGAGCAAUAACAGGUCUGUGAUGCCCUUAGAUGUCCGGGGCUGCACGCGCGCUACACUGAAAGAAUCAGUGUGCUCAUUCGCCUAGUUCGGAAGAACCGGGUAACCCAAGUAAAUUCUUUCGUGCUUGGGAUAGGGAAUUGCAAUUAUUUCCCUUAAACGAGGAAUUCCCAGUAAGUGCGGGUCAUAAGCUCGCGUUGAUUACGUCCCUGCCCUUUGUA
This 639-nucleotide ribosomal RNA is filed under the name Discolaimus texanus. RNAcentral describes it as "SSU rRNA". It matches the Rfam family "Eukaryotic small subunit ribosomal RNA", at positions 1003 to 1664 of the family's 1831-position model. Lineage: Eukaryota; Metazoa; Nematoda; Enoplea; Dorylaimida; Qudsianematidae. The record is from RNAcentral.